Molecule: ribosomal RNA, 774 nt
Filed under: uncultured bacterium
Lineage: Bacteria
Description: bacterial SSU rRNA
Rfam family: Bacterial small subunit ribosomal RNA
Source: RNAcentral
GACGAACGCUGGCGCCGUGCCUAAUACAUGCAAGUCGAGCGAGCUUGCCUAGAUGAUUUUAGUGCUUGCACUAAAUGAAACUAGAUACAAGCGAGCGGCGGACGGGUGAGUAACACGUGGGUAACCUGCCCAAGAGACUGGGAUAACACCUGGAAACAGAUGCUAAUACCGGAUAACAACACUAGACGCAUGUCUAGAGUUUGAAAGAUGGUUCUGCUAUCACUCUUGGAUGGACCUGCGGUGCAUUAGCUAGUUGGUAAGGUAACGGCUUACCAAGGCAAUGAUGCAUAGCCGAGUUGAGAGACUGAUCGGCCACAUUGGGACUGAGACACGGCCCAAACUCCUACGGGAGGCAGCAGUAGGGAAUCUUCCACAAUGGACGAAAGUCUGAUGGAGCAACGCCGCGUGAGUGAAGAAGGGUUUCGGCUCGUAAAGCUCUGUUGGUAGUGAAGAAAGAUAGAGGUAGUAACUGGCCUUUAUUUGACGGUAAUUACUUAGAAAGUCACGGCUAACUACGUGCCAGCAGCCGCGGUAAUACGUAGGUGGCAAGCGUUGUCCGGAUUUAUUGGGCGUAAAGCGAGUGCAGGCGGUUCAAUAAGUCUGAUGUGAAAGCCUUCGGCUCAACCGGAGAAUUGCAUCAGAAACUGUUGAACUUGAGUGCAGAAGAGGAGAGUGGAACUCCAUGUGUAGCGGUGGAAUGCGUAGAUAUAUGGAAGAACACCAGUGGCGAAAGCGGCUCUCUGGUCUGCAACUGACGCUGAGGCUCGAAAGCAU